This 301-nucleotide ribosomal RNA is filed under the name uncultured bacterium. RNAcentral's name for it is "partial 16S ribosomal RNA". It matches the Rfam family "Bacterial small subunit ribosomal RNA", at positions 509 to 807 of the family's 1533-position model. The record is from RNAcentral.
CAGUCGCCGCGGGAAUACGAAGGGGGCUAGCGUUGUUCGGAAUCACUGGGCGUAAAGCGCACGUAGGCGGACACUUAAGUCAGAGGUGAAAUCCCAAGGCUCAACCUUGGAACUGCCUUUGAUACUGGGUGUCUUGAGUUCGGGAGAGGUGAGUGGAACUGCGAGUGUAGAGGUGAAAUUCGUAGAUAUUCGCAAGAACACCAGUGGCGAAGGCGGCUCACUGGCCCGAUACUGACGCUGAGGUGCGAAAGCGUGGGGAGCAAACAGGAUUAGAUACCCCCGUAGUCCCUGUCUCUUAUAC